This 201-nucleotide long non-coding RNA is filed under the name Homo sapiens (human). Its description in RNAcentral is "LHRI_LNC1746.1". Lineage: Eukaryota; Metazoa; Chordata; Mammalia; Primates; Hominidae. The record is from RNAcentral.
UGCAAGUAUGUCUGUAGGAUAAAUUCCCAGAAAUUGACUUAUUGGGUCAAAGGGAAUAUGCAUUUGUAAUUUUGAUAGAGAUUGCCAAAUUGUACUCCUCAGGAGCUGAACUAAUUUGUACUCUCACCAGCAAUGUUAGGGACAUGCUUGUUUUUCCACCGCAUCACCAACAGAGCAUGUUAUUAAACUUUUGGAUUUGGG